RNAcentral lists this ribosomal RNA (450 nucleotides) under uncultured bacterium. Its description in RNAcentral is "partial 16S ribosomal RNA". It matches the Rfam family "Bacterial small subunit ribosomal RNA", at positions 354 to 796 of the family's 1533-position model. The record is from RNAcentral.
GUGGGGAAUUUUGGACAAUGGGCGCAAGCCUGAUCCAGCAAUGCCGCGUGCAGGAAGAAGGCCUUCGGGUUGUAAACUGCUUUUGUACGGAACGAAACGGUCCGGGUUAAUACCCUGGGCUAAUGACGGUACCGUAAGAAUAAGCACCGGCUAACUACGUGCCAGCAGCCGCGGUAAUACGUAGGGUGCAAGCGUUAAUCGGAAUUACUGGGCGUAAAGCGUGCGCAGGCGGUUUUGUAAGACAGGCGUGAAAUCCCCGGGCUCAACCUGGGAAUUGCGCUUGUGACUGCAAGGCUGGAGUGCGGCAGAGGGGGAUGGAAUUCCGCGUGUAGCAGUGAAAUGCGUAGAUAUGCGGAGGAACACCGAUGGCGAAGGCAAUCCCCUGGGCCUGCACUGACGCUCAUGCUCGAAAGCGUGGGGAGCAAACAGGAUUAGAUACCCCAGUAGUCC